GGAGGGUGCAAGCGUUGUCCGGAUUUAUUGGGUUUAAAGGGUGCGUAGGGUGGCGUGUUAAGUCAGUGGUGAAAGCCUGCAGCUCAACUGUAGAGGUGCCAUUGAUACUGACAUGCUUGAGUAUGGACGAGGUAGGCGGAAUUUGUGGUGUAGCGGUGAAAUGCAUAGAUACCACAAGGAACACCGAUAGCGAAGGCAGCUUACUGGACCAUAACUGACACUGAGGCACGAAAGCGUGGGGAGCGAACAGGAUUAGAUACCCUGGUAGUCCACGCCGUAAACGAUGCUCACUCGAUGUAUGCGAUAUACUGUAUGCGUCCAAGCGAAAGCGUUAAGUGAGCCACCUGGGGAGUACGCUCGCAAAGAGUG
Molecule: ribosomal RNA, 369 nt
Filed under: uncultured organism
Description: partial 16S ribosomal RNA
Rfam family: Bacterial small subunit ribosomal RNA
Source: RNAcentral